RNAcentral lists this long non-coding RNA (562 nucleotides) under Rattus norvegicus (Norway rat). RNAcentral's name for it is "long non-coding RNA NONRATT008102". Lineage: Eukaryota; Metazoa; Chordata; Mammalia; Rodentia; Muridae. The record is from RNAcentral.
GAACAUGCCCCGUUCCGGCCCGGGCGCGCCGUUGGCCGCCGGGACGUCCUAGCCCCGAGGGAGAGUGAGUGUGGUGGCCGCGGUACUUCGCGCUGAACCGAAGACGAAGACUGUCCGUCCUAUCCUAUCCGGGAAAGAACGAGGGGGUUCAAGGAGGCAGCAUGACUUGCAGUCGCCGCCGCCCUGCGUCUGCCCCCAGUCCCCAGCCCACCUCUUGAUGCGUCCCGGGUCGGCUGUACAAAUAUGAUGAAAUGGCAGCCCCGGAAGAAGCUGAAUGUGGAGCUGAGGGUUCAUUGACUGAAGGGGAAUUCUUCCCACUAUUAAUUUGAUGGAUUAAACACCAAGACAAAGUUUAUGAGUGUAGGACCCUCAUGCGGAUCCCAGCGCCCAUGUGUGAACUGAAGCUCCAGGGGACCUCACACCUCUGGCCUCCAGAGACGUCUGUACUGCAAUCAGAUCUACUCUGCUGUUUCUGUUCCGAAGAUGACUGUGGCACAUUUGUGAGAAGCAGCUCUAAGGCUGAGGAAGGAUGAUGACUCUCGCCAAGUCUGUUAGGGAGCAA